CCCGGCCUACGGGGGGUAGCAGUGAGGAAUAUUGGUCAAUGGCCAAAGGGCUGAACCAGCCGAGCCGCGUGAAGGAAUAAGGCCCUACGGGUCGUAAACUUCUUUAGUCAGGGAACAAAGGGAGCCACGCGUGGCGCUGUGAGUGUACCUGAAGAAUAAGCAUCGGCUAACUCCGUGCCAGCAGCCGCGGUAAUACGGAGGAUGCGAGCGUUAUCCGGAUUUAUUGGGUUUA
Molecule: ribosomal RNA, 232 nt
Filed under: uncultured bacterium
Lineage: Bacteria
Description: partial 16S ribosomal RNA
Rfam family: Bacterial small subunit ribosomal RNA
Source: RNAcentral